This 138-nucleotide small nucleolar RNA is filed under the name Ornithorhynchus anatinus (platypus). Lineage: Eukaryota; Metazoa; Chordata; Mammalia; Monotremata; Ornithorhynchidae. The record is from RNAcentral.
ACCCUCUCAGGGUCACCCCUGGAGAGUUCCCAGUACUCUACCAGUCUCGACUACAAGAGGGAGAGUCAGGCAGAGGCAUAUCCAUUCCAUUCCUAGAUUGGGCAGUGGUUAGCGAGUGAAAGGCAAUCUGCUACAAGU